AUGUCCCCGGUGUCGUCAACCACCUCCUCCUCCUCUGCUUUGAGCAGGAGGACAAGAAGCGCCCGAUCCGCCUCGUUCUCUCGUCAACGCCCGCGCGUGGCCUCUGUGCCCGUUGACCUGGCCUCGUGGGCCUCGCCCCGGCCCAGCAGCGCCCCGCCAGCCUCUCCACCGAACCGGCCUGUUAGGCCCAAUGGUGAGAACACCACAACCCAGCGCCCAGCCAGUUUCGGCCUGCUACGUUUUUUCCUGUUAUGUGAAUUUCCUAAUUUCCACAAAAUUGGCAGUUUUACAGAAAAGCCCUUCAAGUCCAUGCAUUUAAUAACUAUAUAA
RNAcentral lists this ribosomal RNA (330 nucleotides) under Triticum aestivum (bread wheat). RNAcentral describes it as "partial small subunit ribosomal RNA". Lineage: Eukaryota; Viridiplantae; Streptophyta; Magnoliopsida; Poales; Poaceae. The record is from RNAcentral.